CUUCCAUCUGGAAGAAUCUGGAGGACAGGUGCUGCAUGGCUGUCGUCAGCUCGUGUCGUGAGAUGUUGGGUUAAGUCCCGCAACGAGCGCAACCCUUGCCUUUAGUUGCCAGCAGUUCGGCUGGGCACUCUAAAGGGACUGCCGGUGUUAAACCGGAGGAAGGUGGGGAUGACGUCAAGUCCUCAUGGCCUUUAUGACCAGGGCUACACACGUACUACAAUGGCCGAUACAAAGGGCAGCGACACUGCGAGGUGAAGCCAAUCCCGUAAAAUCGGUCUCAGUCCGGAUUGGAGUCUGCAACUCGACUCCAUGAAGUUGGAAUCGCUAGUAAUCGUGGAUCAGCAUGCCACGGUGAAUACGUUCCCGGGCCUU
RNAcentral lists this ribosomal RNA (372 nucleotides) under uncultured Desulfobulbus sp. RNAcentral describes it as "bacterial SSU rRNA". It matches the Rfam family "Bacterial small subunit ribosomal RNA", at positions 1014 to 1382 of the family's 1533-position model. Lineage: Bacteria; Pseudomonadati; Thermodesulfobacteriota; Desulfobulbia; Desulfobulbales; Desulfobulbaceae. The record is from RNAcentral.